UGUUCUAUUUGAAAAACAAGAAAUCUUCAUGAAAAUUCAAUACUUUUUUAAUGAAGUCAAGUUACAGAAAAGAAGAUAUCAUCAUUGCUAUUGUUGUUUGAAAGGAGUUUAAUGUUUGGUGCAUGAAACAUUUGCUUGGUGCCAAUUUCACAGUGCAAACCGACUGAGUUCAGAAUGCCCCAAAAGGACAGCUCCUGCCCUGUGCUACAGUACACCAGGACACAGAGAGAUUCUCCAUCUGCUACCUUUUAAUACUACCAUGAGUAUGUAAUGAGAAUCAUUGGGGGAGGAGUCAAGAUGGCCACUUAGAAGCAGCUAAGUCCAGACAUCUGUGAAAAUCCUUCCACAUCCAUCAAAAACAAAAUGCUUCGAUCAAAUCUAACAAUAGGACAGAGCUGGGGGACCCUCCACUUCAAUUCAACUUAUAAGUCUUUGAGGGAUGCUGCUAUUGCUGAUGCCGAUUCUUCAAAAAAGUUUGUGAGUCAGCCUGAGAAGCUGUUAUCUAAAAGGAGUCAUUGGGUCCCAAAGAAAAGAAAUGAUAUCUUCCUGCCAAUGGGGUUUGAUAUCCUCCUUCCUGUCUGGCCACUGAAGCAGCUUCUCUGAGGACUCCAAGUCCAAAGAUAAGAUAUCAGUUGCAUAUUUUCCAUGGUUAUAUUCAGACACUGAACCCAAACUAAGGGAUAAAAGGUCCCAUUCAUAAUGUGGCUAUUUUCUAUUAUGACUCCAGAAUUUCCUCUUUUUUUCCUUUCUUGAAUAUUUUAGUAAACUAAAUUACUUAAAUGUUGUAUAUUAUAUGUGUCAGUCUAAGGUAAAGUCCAAAAGAAGAAUGUUUACAAUUAUAGUUUAUUUGAAGGAUAAAGAUGCAUUAAAAAGAAAUUGAAGAUAGAUAAAAGGCUUCUAAAAAUUGUAAAAUGAACAGAAAAUUAACAAUGAAUAAAUUUUAUCAAGCAAUAUAAUAACA
RNAcentral lists this long non-coding RNA (961 nucleotides) under Monodelphis domestica (gray short-tailed opossum). Its description in RNAcentral is "lncRNA (ENSMODG00000036320.2)". The record is from RNAcentral. Lineage: Eukaryota; Metazoa; Chordata; Mammalia; Didelphimorphia; Didelphidae.